Mus musculus (house mouse) is the source of this 437-nucleotide long non-coding RNA. RefSeq annotates it as predicted gene, 40071. The record is from RefSeq and is a predicted model, not a curated record. Lineage: Eukaryota; Metazoa; Chordata; Mammalia; Rodentia; Muridae. The transcript has 3 exons.
AGAAUGCUUGGGCUCGACACUGCCGCUUUCCACCUGCAGAGGGAGGAGGAAGAGAGUCUGGUUUACUAUGUAUGAAAAGCAGCGAACCCCCCCCCCCCGAAAGGAAAAUGCAAUCAAAUUCAACAGAACUCUGAAAGCUAGCCAACGCGUAGGAACUUUCCAACGGUUUAGUUUGAUUUCGCCAUAUCUCUAUAUCAUUGCAAACAAGAUGAAGUUCCACAAACUCCUAGACCACUGCCAUGUUUGCCUAAGAAUCCUUCUAGGAUUGACAUCUGCUUGGCCAUUGAAUGCUUGAUGAAAGUUAAGAAGAAAUAUGCUUUUAUAUUUAACUCUCUAUGUACCUCACUGAAGUCAACAAACACAUAAUUGAACUUCCCCCUGAUCUCCAGAACUGAUAAAGGAGAAAAAACUGAGGCACUGGAAAAGAGAAAACUAAG